Molecule: non-coding RNA, 26 nt
Filed under: Mus musculus (house mouse)
Lineage: Eukaryota; Metazoa; Chordata; Mammalia; Rodentia; Muridae
Source: RNAcentral
UUAUGCCACUUGUAACACCACAAUUU